AAUAAUAGAUCCGUGCAAUCUUUGGCUUUUCAAUUUCCUAUCAACUCUUUUAACAUAAUUUUCUCUCUCUCCUUUAUUAUCAUUCUCCUCUUUUAUCAUUCUCACCUCCCAUCCUUUUGCUCUCUACUGCCAACCUAAAGUUCAUCUUUUGAUGUCUUCUUGUCAUGCUCUUGCUCCCAUCGUUCAGAUAUGGGGAGUUGAAGACACUCUUUCUCUUCGAACAAGCUUUUAAGUUUUACGAAUUAGCCUCCGAUUCAUCCGUUGAUCAGAAACAAAGGAUGAACAAAUAUGAAGAAAAAAGAAAAAAAGAUGGAGAGAGAAAACCAACCUUCCAAUGAAGCAGUUAAGCAGAGAACCGACAGAAGAAGAUGGCACUAACGAUAGAUUCAAGCUCUGCUAUAAGGGUAAGGGGUCUGAUUAUCCAGAAUAGCCAGCAGAUGCAUUUUGUUAUUGCUCGUUCUGUUUCUGUGCGAGUGUCCAAUGUGCUAAUUUCUUCCCCAGGAGACAGUCCUAACACUGAUGGAAUAAACAUCAGUGAAUCAAUGAAUGUUGUUCUCCUGGACUGUAAAAUUGGAAUAGGGGAUGAUUGUAUUUCAAUCGUCAAUGCCAGUUCAACUACCAAAAUGAAAAAAAAAUUAUUGUGGUCUUGGGCAUGGAAUUAGCAUACGAAGCCUUGGGAAGGAUAAUUCACCUGGCAUUGUCUCAAAAGUUGUCCUGAAUGGUCUGUUUACAAGGAAUGCGAGUAAUGGGGUCAAGAUUAAGACUUGGCAGGUAAGUCAUGUUUUGAGGAGAUACAUAUACUUUUUCAAACUCAACCCCUCUUCCCACCCACCCACCCUCCCCCCCUCCCCCCCUCCCCCUUUGCAAGUGGUAAUUAUUAGACUUAUGGUCAAUCUCCUACCUAAGCCUAAUUUUGCAUGUGCUGCAAGUUGCUCUUAAUAUGUUUCAAGACUUUGCUAAUCAUAAUUUUGCAUAUGCAUGUUUUCUAGUUAUGAGAAAUAAUGUGAAGUGAUUUCCUGAACAUGUAUUCACGUGAUAUUAGUCAUGAGAAGAAUUUUAUUUUUUAUUAUGUGAUCUUAAAUUCUUGGUAGUUGGUAUAACUAGAUAACUUGUUAACACUUAAGUUUUGUUAGUUGUGAUGCACAACUAAGUUUCUAUAUUUUUUUGCUUUAAAUAAUCAUUGUUCUCUUUUAUUUCUCAGAUUUUGGAAAACAGUAUCAAAUUUAUCGUAUAUGACUUUUCUUCUUAUAAAAUCCUUAAGAAAAUGAUACUUUGUAAGUGGUAAUUGUUAGAUACAUACGAUGAGAUCAAUCAAUUCUAUUGUUCCAUUAUUGUUUUUUCUCAAUAUUAUACUUCCUCCGUUUCUUUUUACUCGCUACACUUCUUAUUUCAUGGACUCCUAGGCAAUUUUUGGAGAAGAGAGAGGUAGAGAGUAAAAAGAAAAGGGACCCAUGUGGGAGGAGAGAGAUAGAGAGAGUUUAUUGCCCAAAAAAGAAGUGUAGCAAGUAAUGUGGAACUUCCCAUAAUGGAAAGUGUAGCGAGUAAAAAGAAACGGAGGAAGUAUGUUAUUUUUUAUGGAGCCUCUUCAUAGAGCUCAAUUGAAUCCUAUGAAAUUUCGACUUGUGAUGGAAAAAACGAGUGUUUCAAACCUUUGAUUCUAAGCAGAAAAGUGUAAUUAGACUAGUCAUGUUAACCUUUUUCACAAGUUGAAUUAAAAUGAAAUAUCAAAUGAUCUUUGAUGAGAAAGAAGUCUCCAACUUAACGUUGCUCUAUAGGUGAUAAAAUGCAUUAAUGUAAUUUAUGGAUAGAUUUUAAAAUGAAGGCAACAACCUUUGAGUUUGUUUUUUUAAUGUUAACAAUGUUAAAAUCAUGUUAACACAAAUAUAAUCUCAUGAAAUGUUGUUUUUGAAAAAUUAUACUCUAUAUCUAUGAUUAUAGAAAAAUCAAACUUUUAGCCAUUCGCAACGAACAAGCAAACCUUUUAGUUAUUCUUAAAUAAUGUAACUUUUAUCAAAAAAUUCUCUAAAUGGGUAAAAAUCAGAUGUAACCUAAUACACAGGUUGUCUGAGAUACUUGUCACAAUUUAAUUGAUUAGUUUUUAAUUUUUGUUGAAUUCAAAAAACAAUUUUUUUUUCUCUCUUCCUCAUCUCCGUCCACCACUACUGAGCUCUUCCUCAUCCCACCCCACCCCACCACUACUACCUUACUUACCGAAAAACCCUCGUCCCUAGUCCCUUACUCCAAAAUCACCACCUCUUCCCUACCCCACAACCCAAAAAAAUGUAGACCAAACUCUCCUCUUCUCACUUCUACCCUCCUCCACAACCCCACCAUCACUACCUUCUUAGCUUCCACUCUUUUACGAACCACCAUCACCACCUUCUUCUUUCUCUUUCACCAACACUCACCCACCUUCUCGCUCCAUGAACAACCCCAUGAAACACGAACGACCCCCACAAAAACCACUCAAUCAUCACCCAAUACACCACCCCACAUAACAUGAACCACCUUCCCUUAACGCGAACCAUCGCAUCUACCACGACACGCACCCCCACAAAACUCACACUGUACCAAACAUAUGAUGGGUUUCGAGAUUAAGGGCUUAGAGGAUGAGUUUAGGUGGUUUUAGUGAUUGGAUGGGUGGGUUUAAGGGAAGUGUGGGCAAGUUUCGCUGGUUUAAGGGGUGGGGUGGGUGGGUUUUGGUAGUUUCAGAGAUGGGUGGGGUAAUAAGUUUCAGUGGUCUAAGGGAUGGGGGAGGGGUGGGUAGGUUUGGCUGAUUUCAGGGAAGGGGAAGGAGACGGGGUGGGGAAGGGGUAGUGAACGAGGAGGGAGUGAGAGUAUGAUCUUUUUUCUUUUUUUGCAAUUUUUUUUUUAACUUCUUUCACAGGUUACCACUCAAUUUGACUUAGUGUAGGAAUUUUAGUAUAAAGGAUGCAUUAUUUCGGAAUAACUAAAAUGUUUGCUUAUUCGUUACGAAAGGCCAAAAAUUUGCAUUAAUAAAAUCAAAAAAAUCCAAUAACUUUCAACACAUAGAACACACUUUUUAAGAGCCAUGGUAAAACCAUUUGAUCAUAAAAGCAAUAAAGAUAGAUAUAAGAUUUUUUUUUUCUUAAAAUAACAAUAAAGAUGGUUAUAACAAAGGACAUUUUUUAAAAAACAAUAAAGAUUGGUAUAAGAAAAGGCUUUAGGAUUUCUUCUUCUAUGGGUUUCAUUAAAUUGGUGUUUUUUUGAUGCUCCAAUAAUUUCGUAUUGCAUGUGGAAAGCGUGAAUUGGGAUUUUAGUGGAAUGAAGUCCAACUUAGUUAUUACCUUAUAAUGAAUUUAAUUGGAGGAUUGUUUAGGUGUUUGGUGGUUCAUUUAAAACUCCCCCUUCUAUAAUUCCAUUUUUUAUGAUAUGUUAGUAUGUAAUUUUUCCACUUGGGGAGUUUACAUUAUGAGGGUUUUUAGGUAUGUUUAAACUUUUUUAGAAGUUGAAAAUCUACAUUCUAAAACUGUUGAACUAAUUAAUUUUUUUCGGGUUUCUCUCUUGUUUGCUUUCACCUUUGUAUUCCAUUUUUGGUUUUUAUUUUAUCGUAUUUUGCUAGGGAAGGUAGUAAAUACUUCUAUAUUGAAAAAUAAUGUUUAGCUAUUAACUAAUUUUGUUCUCUAUGUUUUUUGUUGGUUUGUAAUAGAUGUAACAAAGUCUUUAAAAAGUUUUGUUUUUUAUUCUCAUUUAUGUUUUUUAAGAACUGUACACAACUUGUCUUGGAUCUAAAUUUUGCUGGGAAAAUGAACAUGAUCCAUUAUGCUUAGCUUCCAUGCUACAAUGUGUAUGGUUAAGUCCACUAGCUUGUAAAUUUUAGUUGGUUUAUGUAUUCAAUAUAAAAAUUGCCUCUAAAAGGAGAGAGGUUCUAUCAUUUGGAGAUUAGACUAUAUGGACAUUAAUGAGUA
Molecule: RNA transcript, 3929 nt
Organism: Beta vulgaris subsp. vulgaris (sugar beet)
Lineage: Eukaryota; Viridiplantae; Streptophyta; Magnoliopsida; Caryophyllales; Amaranthaceae
Gene name: polygalacturonase ADPG2
Exons: 5
Source: RefSeq, a predicted model, not a curated record